Molecule: ribosomal RNA, 309 nt
Filed under: uncultured eukaryote
Lineage: Eukaryota
Description: partial 18S ribosomal RNA
Rfam family: Eukaryotic small subunit ribosomal RNA
Source: RNAcentral
CCCUUAGAUGUUCUGGGCGGCCCGCGCACUACAUUGGCACUAGCAAAGAGAUCCUAGAUUGAAUUCUUUGGGGUAUUCUUCUAAAUGGUGUCGUGACUGGGAUAAAUCCUUGUAAUUAUUGGUUUUGAACGAGGAAUUCCUUGUAAUCGCGGUUUAUCAGCUCGCGUUGAAUGCGUCCCUGCCCUUUGUACACACCGCCCGUCGCUCCUACCGAUGGGUCGUCCGGUGAAGCUCACGGAGUGACUGUUCACGCAACGGUUUACGAAGUGAAAUGGACCUCACGAUUUAGAGGAAGGAGAAGUCGUAACA